This 760-nucleotide ribosomal RNA is filed under the name uncultured Prevotella sp. RNAcentral's name for it is "bacterial SSU rRNA". It matches the Rfam family "Bacterial small subunit ribosomal RNA", at positions 28 to 776 of the family's 1533-position model. Lineage: Bacteria; Pseudomonadati; Bacteroidota; Bacteroidia; Bacteroidales; Prevotellaceae. The record is from RNAcentral.
GAUGAACGCUGGCUACAGGCUUAACACAUGCAAGUCGAGGGGAAACGACGGGGAAGCUUGCUUCCCCGGGCGUCGACCGGCGCACGGGUGAGUAACGCGUAUCCAACCUGCCUCUGACUGAGGGAUAACCCGUCGAAAGUCGGCCUAAUACCUCAUGGUAUCGUCUGCGGGCAUCCAACGACGAUUAAAGAUUUCAUCGGUCAGGGAUGGGGAUGCGUCUGAUUAGCUUGUUGGCGGGGUAACGGCCCACCAAGGCUACGACCAGUAGGGGUUCUGAGAGGAAGGUCCCCCACAUUGGAACUGAGACACGGUCCAAACUCCUACGGGAGGCAGCAGUGAGGAAUAUUGGUCAAUGGGCGAGAGCCUGAACCAGCCAAGUAGCGUGCAGGAAGACGGCCCUAUGGGUUGUAAACUGCUUUUAUGCGGGGAUAAAGUGAGGGACGUGUCCCUCAUUGCAGGUACCGCAUGAAUAAGGACCGGCUAAUUCCGUGCCAGCAGCCGCGGUAAUACGGAAGGUCCUGGCGUUAUCCGGAUUUAUUGGGUUUAAAGGGAGCGUAGGCCGUGGAUUAAGCGUGUUGUGAAAUGCAGGUGCUCAACGUCUGCACUGCAGCGCGAACUGGUCCACUUGAGUGCGCGCAACGCAGGCGGAAUUCGUCGUGUAGCGGUGAAAUGCUUAGAUAUGACGAAGAACUCCGAUUGCGAAGGCAGCUUGCGGGAGCACAACUGACGCUGAAGCUCGAAAGUGCGGGUAUCGAUCAGG